This 568-nucleotide ribosomal RNA is filed under the name uncultured Haemophilus sp. Its description in RNAcentral is "bacterial SSU rRNA". It matches the Rfam family "Bacterial small subunit ribosomal RNA", at positions 938 to 1504 of the family's 1533-position model. Lineage: Bacteria; Pseudomonadati; Pseudomonadota; Gammaproteobacteria; Pasteurellales; Pasteurellaceae. The record is from RNAcentral.
CAUGUGGUUUAAUUUCGAUGCAACGCGAAGAACCUUACCUACUCUUGACAUCCAGAGAACAUUCCAGAGAUGGGAUUGGUGCCUUCGGGAACUCUGAGACAGGUGCUGCAUGGCUGUCGUCAGCUCGUGUUGUGAAAUGUUGGGUUAAGUCCCGCAACGAGCGCAACCCUUAUCCUUUGUUGCCAGCGAUUUGGUCGGGAACUCAAAGGAGACUGCCGGUGAUAAACCGGAGGAAGGUGGGGAUGACGUCAAGUCAUCACGGCCCUUACGAGUAGGGCUACACACGUGCUACAAUGGCGUAUACAGAGGGAAGCGAGAGUGCGAGCUGGAGCGAAUCUCACAAAGUACGUCUAAGUCCGGAUUGGAGUCUGCAACUCGACUCCAUGAAGUCGGAAUCGCUAGUAAUCGCAAAUCAGAAUGUUGCGGUGAAUACGUUCCCGGGCCUUGUACACACCGCCCGUCACACCAUGGGAGUGGGUUGUACCAGAAGUAGAUAGCUUAACCUUCGGGGGGGCGUUUACCACGGUAUGAUUCAUGACUGGGGUGAAGUCGUAACAAGGUAACCGUA